UGCUUUUUUAAUUCCAGGAUCCUUGCACAGUUUUUGGACCAGUUGCCCCUUGUUUAUAUUCUCUUUCUUUCUCACACAUUCCUGCUGCGUAACCGGAAUGGGAAGCAAAGUGAACUUUGGAAACGCUACAGAAGUUCCAGUCCACAACCUUCUGCUUCUGAGGGAGUCCUAUGGAAGUGAGUGGGGCUUCUUCGGAGUAAGACAUUUCAGUGGCUAGCCAGAAUGCUUUUCCUGCUAUAAGCCUGUCCAUGCCCUGUGAUCAUCAUCAGAUAUCCUUCUCCAGCAGCCGUCCAGAGGGCCAUGUGGGAACAGGCCUUGUCAGCAGUGGCCCCCUGACAUGGAAUGCUCUGCCUGGUGCAGACAUUGCUAUCUUUUUGGCACAAGGCAAAGAUGUUUCUUUUCUCAAAGUUAUCUAAUCACCGUGCCCUGUGGUUGGACUUUUGGAAAGUUGUUCUACCUGCCGCACUUUUAUCUCAAGGCCUUUGAGGUCAUCCUUCCCACCUUUGGGUCUCCAGCUUCAGUAGCAGUGGUGAGAUCUUUGGAACAGAGGAGGAGCGCACACACUCCCUGUGAAACCUGGGAUUGGUCUGCCGUAUAGAACUCUAAUAAAAGAAUCUCCAAAUGCAGUUGUAUCCUGAACCAAAAGAGCAAUUGCAGCCGUGCCAAAGAAGGAGCUGUAUAAACUUUCUGAAAGUACAAGCAUUCGGACCUGUUAUUGGCUUUUCUUUCGGUGGGAACCUGCCAGAACUCAGUCCCAGCACCUCUCAGCUUUCAAGCAUAGCAGAUUAGACAAGUAUAAGGUAAGCACUCUUAAAAACAACCUGCGAAAUGUACAGGAGGAGGUUUUACUUUCCUAUUUGAUUCUUUUUCCAUACUCCAAGGCGACGUUAGCCAGAAGAGCCCUGGGAAAGAGCGGAGUUGAGGGUGGGGAAGAAGGGGCUUUAAGUGUGCCAUUAAUAAGAGCAAGAUAAUGAAAGGCCUUUUUUGCAAGUGCUUUUUCUUUUUUUCAAUAAGGUGCGAAAGCAGUCUGCAGUAUUGCUAGGACAGCACUGCAUUAUGUACAUAUUCACAACUGAUUCUAGAAAAAAACAAAAAUCAAGCAAGUUCACAUUUUUCUUUCCAUUCCGAGGUUUUCAGUUCCAUUGUGGCCUGAACUGCAAGAAAUGGAGGAACUUCAUUAGGGGGCUCUUGGUCCUCUUGUUUCAGCCUUGGAAUCUACCAGGGUGGCUUUCCUGUCCCUGGGCUGUAACCU
Molecule: long non-coding RNA, 1252 nt
Organism: Podarcis raffonei (Aeolian wall lizard)
Lineage: Eukaryota; Metazoa; Chordata; Lepidosauria; Squamata; Lacertidae
Exons: 6
Source: RefSeq, a predicted model, not a curated record